GCUUCUUGGUAGCUUAGUCGGUAGAGCAUCCGCCAAUAACGUGAAGGUCGCCAGUUCGAUCACUGCCCAGCG
This 72-nucleotide transfer RNA is filed under the name Meloidogyne enterolobii. RNAcentral's name for it is "tRNA-Ile". The record is from RNAcentral. Lineage: Eukaryota; Metazoa; Nematoda; Chromadorea; Rhabditida; Meloidogynidae.